RNAcentral lists this long non-coding RNA (286 nucleotides) under Mytilus galloprovincialis (Mediterranean mussel). Lineage: Eukaryota; Metazoa; Mollusca; Bivalvia; Mytilida; Mytilidae. The record is from RNAcentral.
ACUGACAACAAUUGUUAGAUGCAGAUUCUGUCUUUCCCUUUUCGUCAAUGUGUUUCAGCAAUUUCACAAAGAACAGCUUUAACAGAUGAGUUACAUGUAACGGUAAACUUGUAACUGUGCGGAGAAAAACGAGUUGUCCACGGAUUUCCUAACCCUACGGUCUUUGCCGGAAUUAUUCUUAUUAACUGUCCCUCAUUCGUUAUUUGGUGGAUGUUCUUAGAACUAUGUCCAGCAAUGUAUAUAUUUCCCGCAAAGUCCAUUCCAAUUCCUCUUGGGGAUACGAGUU